CGAUGACCACACCGCUAACUUAGCAGACCUGCUCCACCUCCUUAGAACUGAUUGACGUGUUGGCCGUGUUGUU
This is a non-coding RNA of Pangasianodon gigas (Mekong giant catfish), 73 nucleotides long. NCBI's taxonomy places the organism in Eukaryota, Metazoa, Chordata, Actinopteri, Siluriformes, Pangasiidae. The record is from the annotation of a GenBank genome assembly.